This 105-nucleotide transfer RNA is filed under the name Daphnia magna. It matches the Rfam family "tRNA". From Rfam's summary of the family: Transfer RNA (tRNA) molecules are approximately 80 nucleotides in length. The record is from Rfam by way of RNAcentral. Lineage: Eukaryota; Metazoa; Arthropoda; Branchiopoda; Diplostraca; Daphniidae.
ACAUUCUUAGCUCAGUGGUAGAGCACUGGUAUCGUAAAUUGGUACUAGGUGUAAUGCGAAUGACAAGUAAACUAGAGGCCGAGAGUUCAACUCUCUCAGAAGGCA